AACGAACGCUGGCGGCAUGCCUAACACAUGCAAGUCGAACGAUGCUUUCGGGCAUAGUGGCGCACGGGUGCGUAACGCGUGGGAAUCUGCCCUUGGGUUCGGAAUAACAGUGAGAAAUUGCUGCUAAUACCGGAUGAUGUCUUCGGACCAAAGAUUUAUCGCCCAGGGAUGAGCCCGCGUAGGAUUAGCUAGUUGGUGGGGUAAUGGCCUACCAAGGCGACGAUCCUUAGCUGGUCUGAGAGGAUGAUCAGCCACACUGGGACUGAGACACGGCCCAGACUCCUACGGGAGGCAGCAGUGGGGAAUAUUGGACAAUGGGCGCAAUCCUGAUCCAGCACUGCCGCGUGAGUGAUGAAGGCCUUAGGGUUGUAAAGCUCUUUUACCCGGGAUGAUAAUGACAGUACCGGGAGAAUAAGCUCCGGCUAACUCCGUG
This 433-nucleotide ribosomal RNA is filed under the name uncultured bacterium. Its description in RNAcentral is "partial 16S ribosomal RNA". It matches the Rfam family "Bacterial small subunit ribosomal RNA", at positions 29 to 507 of the family's 1533-position model. The record is from RNAcentral.